This 72-nucleotide transfer RNA is filed under the name Punica granatum (pomegranate). It matches the Rfam family "tRNA". Rfam says of the family: Transfer RNA (tRNA) molecules are approximately 80 nucleotides in length. Their secondary structure includes four short double-helical elements and three loops (D, anti-codon, and T loops). Lineage: Eukaryota; Viridiplantae; Streptophyta; Magnoliopsida; Myrtales; Lythraceae. The record is from Rfam by way of RNAcentral.
GUCAUUGUAGUAUUGUGGUGAGUAUUCCCGCUUAUCACGCGGGAAAUCCGGGUUUGAUCCCUGACAAUGGUG